This 1178-nucleotide ribosomal RNA is filed under the name Salmonella enterica. RNAcentral's name for it is "bacterial LSU rRNA". It matches the Rfam family "Bacterial large subunit ribosomal RNA", at positions 1 to 1211 of the family's 2925-position model. The record is from RNAcentral. RNAcentral also lists the same sequence under 1 other name. Lineage: Bacteria; Pseudomonadati; Pseudomonadota; Gammaproteobacteria; Enterobacterales; Enterobacteriaceae.
GGGUUGUGAGGUUAAGCGACUAAGCGUACACGGUGGAUGCCCUGGCAGUCAGAGGCGAUGAAGGGCGUGCUAAUCUGCGAUAAGCGCCGGUAAGGUGAUAUGAACCGUUAUAACCGGCGAUACCCGAAUGGGGAAACCCAGUGUGAUUCGUCACACUAUCAUUAACUGAAUCCAUAGGUUAAUGAGGCGAACCGGGGGAACUGAAACAUCUAAGUACCCCGAGGAAAAGAAAUCAACCGAGAUUCCCCCAGUAGCGGCGAGCGAACGGGGAGGAGCCCAGAGCCUGAAUCAGCAUGUGUGUUAGUGGAAGCGUCUGGAAAGGCGCGCGAUACAGGGUGACAGCCCCGUACACAAAAGCGCAUGUGCUGUGAGCUCGAUGAGUAGGGCGGGACACGUGAUAUCCUGUCUGAAUAUGGGGGGACCAUCCUCCAAGGCUAAAUACUCCUGACUGACCGAUAGUGAACCAGUACCGUGAGGGAAAGGCGAAAAGAACCCCGGCGAGGGGAGUGAAAAAGAACCUGAAACCGUGUACGUACAAGCAGUGGGAGCACCCUUCGGGGUGUGACUGCGUACCUUUUGUAUAAUGGGUCAGCGACUUAUAUUCUGUAGCAAGGUUAACCGUAUAGGGGAGCCGAAGGGAAACCGAGUCUUAACCGGGCGUUAAGUUGCAGGGUAUAGACCCGAAACCCGGUGAUCUAGCCAUGGGCAGGUUGAAGGUUGGGUAACACUAACUGGAGGACCGAACCGACUAAUGUUGAAAAAUUAGCGGAUGACCUGUGGCUGGGGGUGAAAGGCCAAUCAAACCGGGAGAUAGCUGGUUCUCCCCGAAAGCUAUUUAGGUAGCGCCUCGUGAAUUCAUCUCCGGGGGUAGAGCACUGUUUCGGCUAGGGGGCCAUCCCGGCUUACCAACCCGAUGCAAACUGCGAAUACCGGAGAAUGUUAUCACGGGAGACACACGGCGGGUGCUAACGUCCGUCGUGAAGAGGGAAACAACCCAGACCGCCAGCUAAGGUCCCAAAGUCAUGGUUAAGUGGGAAACGAUGUGGGAAGGCCCAGACAGCCAGGAUGUUGGCUUAGAAGCAGCCAUCAUUUAAAGAAAGCGUAAUAGCUCACUGGUCGAGUCGGCCUGCGCGGAAGAUGUAACGGGGCUAAACCAUGCACCGAAGCUGCGGCAGCGA